AGAGACCUCAAGCGUUAUCCGGAAUCAUUGGGCGUAAAGCGUACCGAUAGGUGGUUUACAAAGUCAGAAGUGAAAUCUCUCAGCUUAACUGGGCGACUGUCUUUUGAAACUUGUAAACUUGAGGGGCAAAGAGGAAGCUGGAACAAACGGUGUAGUAGUGAAAUGCGUUGAUAUCGUUUGGAACACCAAUAGCGUAGGCAGGCUUCUGAGUGCCACCUGACACUGCUAGGACGAAAGCGUGGGGAGCGAUAAGGAUUAGAUACCCUUGUAGUCCACGCUGUAAACGAUGAUGAUUAGGUGCUAGAGAGUAUCGACCCUCUUUAGUACCAUAGCUAACGCGUUAAAUCAUCCGCCUGGGGAGUACGGCCGCAAGGCUA
This 377-nucleotide ribosomal RNA is filed under the name uncultured bacterium. Its description in RNAcentral is "bacterial SSU rRNA". It matches the Rfam family "Bacterial small subunit ribosomal RNA", at positions 527 to 896 of the family's 1533-position model. The record is from RNAcentral.